RNAcentral lists this ribosomal RNA (540 nucleotides) under Bacillus sp. H59. RNAcentral's name for it is "bacterial SSU rRNA". It matches the Rfam family "Bacterial small subunit ribosomal RNA", at positions 65 to 598 of the family's 1533-position model. Lineage: Bacteria; Bacillati; Bacillota; Bacilli; Caryophanales; Bacillaceae. The record is from RNAcentral.
AACGGCAGCGCGAGAGAAGCUUGCUCUCUUGGCGGCGAGUGGCGGACGGGUGAGUAAUAUAUCGGAACGUGCCCAGAGCGGGGGAUAACUACUCGAAAGAGUGGCUAAUACCGCAUACGCCCUACGGGGGAAAGGGGGGGAUCGCAAGACCUCUCACUAUUGGAGCGGCCGAUAUCGGAUUAGCUAGUUGGUGGGGUAAAGGCUCACCAAGGCAACGAUCCGUAGCUGGUUUGAGAGGACGACCAGCCACACUGGGACUGAGACACGGCCCAGACUCCUACGGGAGGCAGCAGGGGGAAUUUUGGACAAUGGGGGAAACCCUGAUCCAGCCAUCCCGCGUGUAUGAUGAAGGCCUUCGGGUUGUAAAGUACUUUUGGCAGAGAAGAAAAGGUAUCCCCUAAUACGGGAUACUGCUGACGGUAUCUGCAGAAUAAGCACCGGUAACUACGUGCCACAGCCGCGGUAAUACGUAGGGUGCAAGCGUUAAUCGGAAUUACUGGGCGUAAAGCGUGUGUAGGCGGGUCGGAAAGAAAAUGUGAA